UACGGAGGGUGCGAGCGUUGUCCGGAAUCAUUGGGCGUAAAGGGCGCGUAGGUGGCGGGAUAAGCGUGCGGUGAAAGCUUGGGGCUCAACCCCGAGUCGGCCGUGCGAACUGUUCUGCUUGAGCACUGUAGAGGCAGGCGGAAUUCCGGGUGUAGCGGUGGAAUGCGUAGAGAUCGGGAAGAACAUCGGUGGCGAAGGCGGUCUGCUGGGCCGUCCCUGACACUGAGGCGCGAAGGCGUGGGGAGCGAACGGGG
Molecule: ribosomal RNA, 254 nt
Filed under: uncultured bacterium
Lineage: Bacteria
Description: partial 16S ribosomal RNA
Rfam family: Bacterial small subunit ribosomal RNA
Source: RNAcentral